This 713-nucleotide ribosomal RNA is filed under the name Massilia sp. Its description in RNAcentral is "bacterial SSU rRNA". It matches the Rfam family "Bacterial small subunit ribosomal RNA", at positions 341 to 1045 of the family's 1533-position model. The record is from RNAcentral. Lineage: Bacteria; Pseudomonadati; Pseudomonadota; Betaproteobacteria; Burkholderiales; Oxalobacteraceae.
ACGGGAGGCAGCAGUGGGGAAUUUUGGACAAUGGGCGCAAGCCUGAUCCAGCAAUGCCGCGUGAGUGAAGAAGGCCUUCGGGUUGUAAAGCUCUUUUGUCAGGGAAGAAACGGUGCGGGCUAAUAUCCUGUGCUAAUGACGGUACCUGAAGAAUAAGCACCGGCUAACUACGUGCCAGCAGCCGCGGUAAUACGUAGGGUGCAAGCGUUAAUCGGAAUUACUGGGCGUAAAGCGUGCGCAGGCGGUUUUGUAAGUUUGUCGUGAAAGCCCCGGGCUCAACCUGGGAAUUGCGAUGAAGACUGCAAGGCUUGAAUCUGGCAGAGGGGGGUAGAAUUCCACGUGUAGCAGUGAAAUGCGUAGAGAUGUGGAGGAACACCGAUGGCGAAGGCAGCCCCCUGGGUCAAGAUUGACGCUCAUGCACGAAAGCGUGGGGAGCAAACAGGAUUAGAUACCCUGGUAGUCCACGCCCUAAACGAUGUCUACUAGUUGUCGGGUUUUAAUUAACUUGGUAACGCAGCUAACGCGUGAAGUAGACCGCCUGGGGAGUACGGUCGCAAGAUUAAAACUCAAAGGAAUUGACGGGGACCCGCACAAGCGGUGGAUGAUGUGGAUUAAUUCGAUGCAACGCGAAAAACCUUACCUACCCUUGACAUGUACGGAAGGCCGGAGAGAUCUGGUUGUGCUCGAAAGAGAACCGUAACACAGGUGCUGCA